Molecule: long non-coding RNA, 1519 nt
Filed under: Helianthus annuus (common sunflower)
Lineage: Eukaryota; Viridiplantae; Streptophyta; Magnoliopsida; Asterales; Asteraceae
Description: hypothetical non coding rna
Source: RNAcentral
GCAUUAUUCAAAAACCCUAAUUAUCAUCUUCUUCAAUUCUCUGGCGAUUUCAUACUUCUUCAGUUGUCUCAAACACAAAAACUCUAAUCAAGGUAUCUUUAUCAUCUUCAACUUGCUUUCAGAUCUUGAAGUUUUAUUCACGAUUAAUUUCCUUUUCAUUUUUCAAGUUUUCAUCUUCUUUCCUAUUUGAAGUUUUCCUUUUCCCUUUCCAAAACCCUAAGUUCAACCAUGGCCGCACACCUCUUUCAGUUUUAAAUAUCCUCAAAGUUCAUCGCUAUCGAUCUCCUUCUUCAGUUUUAUCAUCAAUCAAAGUUCAUCGCUGUUGAUCUCCUUCUUCACAUGAAUCUUCAGUUUUAUCAUCAAUUUCUGUAAAUGAUUUUCGAACGAAUAGGAUUAUAAAACGUGGUUAUUAUCAUCAUCAUCAUCCUUUGAUUUUGUAAGAUUUGUAUUCAACCUUCCUUUGUUUAAAAUGCCGAUCGAAGAAUAAGGAUUGGAAAAGCAUAGACGUCUUCCAUCCCAAACCAACCAUAUCAAAAAUCGCCCAGUUACGGAGAAGGUAGUAGUGGUCGGAAAGUACUUGAUAUUGAUCUGAAUGAGGUUCGGGUCGGUACGAUGGAAGAAGAUGAAGGUGGGAAUGGGAAUGGGUAUGCUUCUUCAUCAUAUAACUCAAAUAUAGGCGAGGUUAAAGGUACCCAAUAUGUUUAUGUUUAUGUUUAACGCAUUUGUGAAAAAAAGUAGAUUGAUAUGCAUAUGUACUAGGAAUAUACUGGAGUUCAAACUGGGAAUUUGUCAAGUCUAAUAAAAGAUAAAUCAAUCACCAGCUGAGUUUUUUGUACCUUUGAUUGCAAUUUUGUGACAGGUUGGUGACCAAGAUGAAAAGCUGGCAGAAGGUAUCAAGCUUUAUGCUAUACCAACCACUUCAACUAGAAAGCGUGAGAUAUAAAGAGUUGCGAGGACUGGACAAUUCGGUUUUCCACGUAUCGAUUUUACCAUUCGGUUUUCCAGUCCCAUAAACGGCAUUAUAGAUAAGAAUGCAAAGAUUGGAAAUGAUGUGGUGAUAAUGAAUAAAGAUGUGGAAAGUGGUCAUGUAGCAGCACGUUAUAAUCAUCGUUUUCAUCCGUGUGAAGAAAAUUCAUAGUUGAGGAGUGGCAUACGCCAUUAAAUCACGUACAUGGAGCAAAGGCUUGGUUUUCAGUUUCUGAUUGGUCAAGACCCCAUUUAGCUCUGUAUUGAACCUGUAGAUUCGACUCAGGAAUGGAGGCAGUGGGAGUUGUAACAGUUGUCAGCCGGGGAGUAACCACAAAGCGAGUUUAAGUUAUUGAUUGUUUCUCGAAGCGGGUCAACUGAUGCAAAAUGGUGUUUUGUUUACUAUAGGUGAUGGGUUGAGGCCCGAAUUAAUUAAUGAUGCGGGUCAACUGGUGCAGAGUUAUUGACUGAAGGUGUAUUAAACUGUAGACCUGAGAGAAAGAUGUACAAGUAUGCUUCUAUUAUUUGUUUUUAUUUCUAUUUUUUAAUUUGU